RNAcentral lists this transfer RNA (88 nucleotides) under Clostridia bacterium. RNAcentral's name for it is "tRNA-Leu". It matches the Rfam family "tRNA". From Rfam's summary of the family: Transfer RNA (tRNA) molecules are approximately 80 nucleotides in length. Their secondary structure includes four short double-helical elements and three loops (D, anti-codon, and T loops). Further hydrogen bonds mediate the characteristic L-shaped molecular structure. tRNAs have two regions of fundamental functional importance: the anti-codon, which is responsible for specific mRNA codon recognition, and the 3' end, to which the tRNAs corresponding amino acid is attached (by aminoacyl-tRNA synthetases). tRNAs cope with the degeneracy of the genetic code in two manners: having more than one tRNA (with a specific anti-codon) for a particular amino acid; and 'wobble' base-pairing, i.e. permitting non-standard base-pairing at the 3rd anti-codon position. Lineage: Bacteria; Bacillati; Bacillota; Clostridia. The record is from RNAcentral.
GCCCGAGUGGCGGAAUAGGCAGACGCAUGGGACUUAAAAUCCCACGGGAGUAUAUCCCGUGCCGGUUCGACCCCGGCCUCGGGCACCA